AGCCCCUUCCAGGAGGGCUCACAAAGGGGCUUUGAGCCCGAGCUGGAGCCCUCCGAGGGCUCUGCUGCCUUCCAAGGAACCCCACAGGCCCUCAGAAAGGGGCUCCAAAAGCUUUAAAGGGUUUCUAAAGGGAGACAAGAGAACUCCUUUGUGAAGAUUUCCAGCCCCCACGGAGAACUGUAGUGGAGAGGGGAAAAAACAGGUUUUGUUUUACCAUAAUGUGGAGUUCAGCACGAGGUCAGAAAUGCAACACCAAAGAAGGAAAAAUAAAUACAUAAUGAAUGAAUAUGCUGUUAUAUUUAGAGAAAAACUCACAGCUUUUGCUUGAAAGAGUGAAAAAAACUUGCAAUUUUUGGUUUAUCUUGAGAGAUUUUUGGCUUUUGUGCCGUGAGUUCUCUGAGUCCAAGGAACAAUGCUAAGCAGAUUCUAGAAAAAUCAUCCUGGGCAAUUAAUAAACAAUAUGUUGACAAAACUGUGGUUUUAAUUCUGCAUCUCAGAAUGAAAUAAUAAUUAAAUACCUGCCAGCAGCAGGGGAAAGGAAGGGUAAGAAAAAGCAGUGUCUGGGAAGUGGGUGGUGGGAACUUUUGGCUUCUCCUCGGGGGAAAAUGGGGCUUGGCAGGAAUGGGGGCAAAUUUGGGCUGUGUGGGGAAAAAGAAGAGCUGCCUCUCCUCAGGGAUGGACUGGCUGUGCAGGAUCCAUCCCUCAGAGGCUGAGGGACAUAAAGUGACAUCAUUGGGUGACAUUAGAACCUCCUGCAGCCCCACUCGUUCCUUCUGUGCCUUCUUUUGUGCCCUGGGGGAGGAAACAAAGCGAGUUCGGGAGCCGGGGGUGAUCGUUCUGGUUAUUUCAGUGCACUGAAAUGAGGGGCUGUAAACACAAGCCCCACACAAAUCUGAUUUUGUUGUGUUUUUCCAGGAGCUGGGAGGAAUGAUGAUGCUGUGAGUAAGGUAUGUUUGAGUUCAUUAGUGCCCAGCUACUAACGAAGGCAGAGGGCAGAUGAACUUCCAUAUUUAAUUCAGAAAUAGUGGUCAGGGUGUGCAAAGAUUUUAAUCUGUGAAUUUAUUAUUUUAAGUAUAGCUGGUUGUGUCUCUGUGCUGGUUUUGUUUGUUUCUGUGGAGGUUUUUUUUUGUUGUUGUUGUUUUGUUUUUGGUUUUUUGUUGUUUUUUUUUUGACUGAAUUUUUUGUCCAGAGCUCAAAAUUGAGUCGUGCCCCAGGGAAGAACCUGCCAGCAGCCCUGACUCCAUGGCUGGUGGAGUUGGGGAAAUUGUGAUCACAGCUUCCAAGGCAAAACUCAUCCCUCAAACCCUUCUACAGAAUCAAAGCAAGAUCAUUUUCCUCCUGGAAGGACUGAGGUUUCUUUUGCACAUUUUUUACUGCAUAUAUAGAUAUUUAUAUAUUCACACACACAUCCUGGCUCUCUCUGUCUAGAAAAAUCACCCUGUAAUUUUACAAUCAGCAGAUACAUUUAACACCAACAAACCUCACAGAAUUUGACACUUCACUAGAAAAAGCCUAAAUUGCCUUGAAGUGGAUUUGAUGAGGAAUCCUCUCGAGCUGGGUGACCAUAAAAUUGGAAGAUGUAUCUUUAACUCGCAGAAGUGAAUCCACGUUUUCCUCUCUUCCUCUCAGGUUUCCGACUGUUCUGUAUCUCCUGGAAUUGCUCUCUAAUGAGACCUUAAUUGGCUGCUAAUUCUUUUGUCUGCAGCACGGAUUGGUCUCUUGGGAAGGCUGCGCGCACCGUCUGAAGAUGUGCAGUGAUUUUUGUUUGCAGCAGGCGAUGAAGUGAAACGCUGUGAUUUAUUAAUUAGUCAGGAGCCAGCAGCAGCCUCUGCAGCUCAGGGGGCAGUUUUGGGGCUGGAUUAAUUCAGGCACAUCCCCUAAACCUUCCAGGGUAAGGUUCCAGAGACCUGGGGCUCUGAAAUAAAACUAUUCCUCGGUUUCUGCUUGGCAGGGCGCGGACUCCCGGGGAGGAGGAGAGGGUCUUCCAACCCUGACCGUCACCACCAUCCUGGAGGAUCCCUACGCGAUGGUGCGGGGAGCAGAGCUGGAGGGAUACUGCAUGGAGCUGCUGGCGGCGCUGGCGGCGAUGCUGCACUUCCAGUACCGCGUGCGGCUGGUGGCGGACGGGCAGUACGGGGCUGCGGGCGCCGGCGGCAACUGGAGCGGCAUGAUUGGCGAGAUCCUGCGAAGGGAAGCUGACAUUGCAGUGGCUCCACUGACCGUCACCUCGGCCAGGGAGGAGGUGGUGUCCUUCACCACGCCCUUCCUGCAGACGGGGAUUGGGAUCCUGCUCCGCAAGGACACGGCCUCCCAGGACUUGUCUUUCUUCCACUUCCUGUCUCCUUUCAGCAAGGAGACCUGGACAGCCCUUUUAUUUGCUUACCUGCUCACCUGCUUCUGCCUCUUCCUUGUUGCCAGGCUGAGCCCCUGUGAGUGGAAUGAGCCAAAGAAUGAAGAGAAUCACUUCACCCUGCUGAACAGCCUCUGGUUUGGAGCAGGAGCUCUGGCCCUGCAGGGCGCCACCCCCCGGCCCCAGGCUCUCUCAGUGAGGGUCAUUGCUGUGGUCUGGUGGCUCUUCACGCUGGCCCUGCUGGCCGCCUACAUUGCCAACUUCACGGCCCUGCUGAGCUCCGGCAGCGAGCAGCUCCCCAUCCAGACCUUCGAGGACCUGGUCAAGCAGAGGAAUCUGGAGUUUGGGACACUGGAGGGCUCCUCAACCUUCUACUACUUCAAGAACUCCAAGAACCCCAUCCACCAGAUGAUCUACGAGUACAUGGAGAAGCGUCGGGAGCACGUUCUGGUCAAGACCUACCAGGAGGCCGUGCAGCGCGUGAUGGACUCCAACUACGCCUUCAUUGGCGAGUCCAUCUCGCAGGACCUGGCGGCCGCUCGCCACUGCAACCUCAUCAGGGCCCCCGAGGUCAUCGGGGCCCGCGGCUUCGGCAUCGCCACCGCCCAGGCCUCCCCCUGGACCAAGCCUCUGUCCAUCGCCGUGCUGAAGCUGCGCGAGGCGGGUGACCUGGACUACCUGCGGAACAAGUGGUGGGAGAGCAGCUGCCUGCGCCGGAGCGGGGAGCGCUGGGGGCCCCUGGAGCCGCCGGCGCUGGGGGGGCUCUUCCUCACCCUGGGCAUCGGCCUCGCCCUCGGCGUCCUCGCUGCCCUGGCCGAGCUCUCCAGCAGCAGCCGCCGCACGGCCGCGCACGCCAAGAAAUCUUGUUGCUCUGUUUUCACAGAAGAAAUCUGCACUCGUCUACGCAUAAAAGGAACUGCCAGACAAAGCCAGGAGACGUCAGGGAAGGCAAACGCUUAAGGAUUUUCUGCUGCAGGAAUGGGCCUGUGUUAGGGUUGUACCACGUCCUAGGAGCUGCAUCAGUGUAGGAAGAUGUUUUUCUGCUAGUCUAGAGUGUUAGUUUGCUAAUUACACACACGCACAGCACUUCUGCAGUGGUGGUGGAGCUGCAGACACAAGGAAAUGAGGUGGCUUGGAAGAAUUUAAAUUGAUAAGGGGUAGAGUGGAGCUGUGAGGAAUUGAUGAAGUGGAGCUGGGCUGGCCAGGAUGGUGGAUGCGUGUUUGGGUUUGAAGUUCACCCUGUAAGUUCAUGAAGGGCUGGAGGAGGAAGUGACUGGGGACAGGUUCAUGUGAAGCCUCUGCUACUAAUUCCUGUGUGAGGGAGUGGUGGAACAUUAAAGCUCUUGCCUGUCUGCUGUAAUCAGCAGCAGCUUAAGCAGUGCAGCCAUAAACAGCCUCCCCCUGUCCUGCCUGAGCAGGUGCUGGUCCCUGGGAAGGCAAUUCCUGAAUCAGGACUGACAGUGAACCCCAGACAGGCCCUCCCUGCACCCCAAACCUCAGAAAGGCCCCACUGGAGCUAAGAAAUGCCAGGCAGGGCUUGUCCUUUGUCCCUUCCCAUCACUGUUGGGUGACACAGAAUGUUUUGUUCUCGUUGCCCAAGAAUUGAGGAUUGACAGUGGAAAUCAGAGCAGGGAAGGAGUGUGGGGAUGAGUCAAGCACAGCCCCAGCUCCCCUGCAAGGGGAGACGUGAGGGUGUUUUGCUUCACUCUCCUGCUCUCAAAGAAUGCUGAAGUUCAGGGGAACAGUUUUCUCAGCUGCAUGUUAAACACUUUCCUCAUUAAGCUGGUUUCCCUUUCAGAGCUGGGAUGACUGAAGCAUGUAAGUGUUAGGGCAAAUUGGUGGUGAAAUCACUCCCUUUAUGAACUGCACAGCUGAAGGAGAGAAAAAGCAAAUUGGGUUCCUUGGGAAUGGCUGUAAUUGCACUGCAGGAACAAAGACACCAAUCCUUGUCAAUCCCAGCAGGGAAAACUCAAGGCAAGAGAAACCAAGAGGGCUCAGGCUGGGCAGUUAUGGGUGAUCCUGAAUCCAGCACUGCACAUUCCCUGUGAGGGGAACUUGGUGAGACUCAGCUUCCAGGAAGGAAUUCAGCUCAUCUGUGAAGGAAUUCAGUGUAGCUGCAGGACUCCCUCCCCUGUCCCUCCUGCUAACGGGAACAAACAAGGGGUCAGGAAUUCCAGGUGCUGGGAAAGCAGGGCUGGGCCUUAACUCAGACUGCACCAGCCCUGGCUGUCACAGCCUGAGCAGCGUUUGUGGGGUGAGAAGGUGGAACAGCCCUUCCAUUAACUGAGC
Molecule: RNA transcript, 4639 nt
Organism: Prinia subflava (tawny-flanked prinia)
Lineage: Eukaryota; Metazoa; Chordata; Aves; Passeriformes; Cisticolidae
Gene name: probable glutamate receptor
Exons: 9
Source: RefSeq, a predicted model, not a curated record